RNAcentral lists this unclassified non-coding RNA (311 nucleotides) under uncultured fungus. Its description in RNAcentral is "partial contains 5.8S rRNA and ITS2". The stretch from base 1 to 52 matches the Rfam family "5.8S ribosomal RNA", at positions 103 to 154 of the family's 154-position model. The record is from RNAcentral. Lineage: Eukaryota; Fungi.
AACGCACCUUGCGCUCCAUGGUAUUCCGUGGAGCAUGCCUGUUUGAGUGUCAUGAAUACUUCAACCCUCCUCUUUCUUAAUGAUUGAAGAGGUGUUUGGUUUCUGAGCGCUGCUGGCCUUUAGGGUCUAGCUCGUUCGUAAUGCAUUAGCAUCCGCAAUCGAACUUCGGAUUGACUUGGCGUAAUAGACUAUUCGCUGAGGAAUUCUAGUCUUCGGACUAGAGCCGGGUUGGGUUAAAGGAAGCUUCUAAUCAGAAUGUCUACAUUUUAAGAUUAGAUCUCAAAUCAGGUAGGACUACCCGCUGAACUUAA